CAGCACCUCAAGUGGUCAGGAUGAUUAUUGGGCUUAAAGCAUCCGUAGCCGGCGCUGUAAGUUUUCGGUUAAAUCUGUACGCUCAACGUACAGGCUGCCGGGAAUACUGCAGCGCUAGGGAGUGGGAGAGGUAGACGGUACUCGGUAGGAAGGGGUAAAAUCCUUUGAUCUAUUGAUGACCACCUGUGGCGAAGGCGGUCUACCAGAACACGUCCGACGGUGAGGGAUGAAAGCUGGGGGAGCAAACCGGAUUAGAUACCCGUGUAGUCC
RNAcentral lists this ribosomal RNA (270 nucleotides) under uncultured archaeon. RNAcentral describes it as "partial 16S ribosomal RNA". It matches the Rfam family "Archaeal small subunit ribosomal RNA", at positions 477 to 747 of the family's 1478-position model. The record is from RNAcentral.